RNAcentral lists this ribosomal RNA (253 nucleotides) under uncultured bacterium. RNAcentral describes it as "partial 16S ribosomal RNA". It matches the Rfam family "Bacterial small subunit ribosomal RNA", at positions 524 to 776 of the family's 1533-position model. The record is from RNAcentral.
UACAGAGGGGGCAAGCGUUGUUCGGAAUUACUGGGCGUAAAGGGCGCGUAGGUGGCCUUCUAAGUUGAACGUGAAAUCCCUGGGCUCAACCCAGGAACUGCGUCCAAGACUGGGAGGCUUGAAUCCGGGAGAGGGAUGCGGAAUUCCAGGUGUAGCGGUGAAAUGCGUAGAUAUCUGGAGGAACACCGGUGGCGAAGGCGGCGCUCUGGGCCGGUACUGACACUGAGGAGCGAAAGCGUGGGUAGCAAACAGG